GAUGAACGCUGGCGGCGUGCCUAAUACAUGCAAGUCGAGCGAACAGACGAGGAGCUUGCUCCUCUGGCGUUAGCGGCGGACGGGUGAGUAACACGUGGAUAACCUACCUAUAAGACUGGGAUAACUUCGGGAAACCGGAGCUAAUACCGGACAAUAUAUUGAACCGCAUGGUUCAAUAGUGAAAGACGGUUUUGCUGUCACUUAUAGAUGGAUCCGCGCCGCAUUAGCUAGUUGGUAAGGUAACGGCUUACCAAGGCAACGAUGCGUAGCCGACCUGAGAGGGUGAUCGGCCACACUGGAACUGAGACACGGUCCAGACUCCUACGGGAGGCAGCAGUAGGGAAUCUUCCGCAAUGGGCGAAAGCUUGACGGAGCAACGCCGCGUGAGUGAUGAAGGUCUUCGGAUCGUAAAACUCUGUUAUUAGGGAAGAACAAAUGUGUAAGUAACUAUGCACGUCUUGACGGUACCUAAUCAGAAAGCCACGGCUAACUACGUG
This 497-nucleotide ribosomal RNA is filed under the name uncultured bacterium. Its description in RNAcentral is "partial 16S ribosomal RNA". It matches the Rfam family "Bacterial small subunit ribosomal RNA", at positions 28 to 507 of the family's 1533-position model. The record is from RNAcentral.